RNAcentral lists this transfer RNA (72 nucleotides) under Astyanax mexicanus (Mexican tetra). It matches the Rfam family "tRNA". Rfam says of the family: Transfer RNA (tRNA) molecules are approximately 80 nucleotides in length. Their secondary structure includes four short double-helical elements and three loops (D, anti-codon, and T loops). Lineage: Eukaryota; Metazoa; Chordata; Actinopteri; Characiformes; Acestrorhamphidae. The record is from Rfam by way of RNAcentral.
AACCUCGUGGUGCAACGUAGCGCCGUCUGACUCCAGAUCAGAAGGUUGCGUGUUCAAAUCACGUCGGGAGUU